Molecule: RNA transcript, 1976 nt
Organism: Panicum virgatum (switchgrass)
Lineage: Eukaryota; Viridiplantae; Streptophyta; Magnoliopsida; Poales; Poaceae
Gene name: probable galactinol--sucrose galactosyltransferase 1
Exons: 8
Source: RefSeq, a predicted model, not a curated record
UACUCCCAAUUCAACAAAUUGAGUACUCUCAUGGUACAAUGACUUAAUUUUGUUUAUCCCUCCGUUGUCUUCUGUGAUGAAAAUGGACAAAAAAAGAUAAAUUAAGGAGAACAGAAUAUAUUGUCAAUUGUACUAGGCAACUAUGGCAAGGUGAAAUCAUUGAGUUAACACCAGAGGAAGAUACAUGAUGCAUUCAUCAUCCUAGGUUUGUCUUUAUUCCGAUGCCCUCACGAAUACAGCAUCAGCAUUUGUGAUAGGAACCUUUAGAUGUGCUAAUGGUUAUCUCUUCUGUAGUUUCAUUUCAGAUAUUUGGGCAGGUUCCCGAGUAUUCAAUUGUGUCGUGGUCUCAUUCGCAUGAUUUUAAUGCAUGCACAUACAUGACUUGUCAAAUGUUUGAUUAACUAAGGUCUAUCUAGGGAACGGGUGUGUGCUGCAUUACUAGAAGAUUGAAUCUGUAUGCAAUAUUGCCUCGAUUCAAUGUAUUUUUUCUCUGCUGCAAUGCUUAAAAUUUUCGGUGUGAAAGAUGUCCUUUUGGAGCUUUUCUGUUUCUGAAUUAGCAAGCUUUAAUAUCUACAUCAUGAGAUAUCUACCUAUCUCAACCAUCGAAUUUUUUUUUGUGUUUUGUUCUUCUUGCAGGUGUUUUGAGUUGUAGGUCCUGUGUUGAGCAGAGGCCCCUUUUUUUUUGCAUUUGGAUGUUUCAGACUUCACAAACUGAAGUUGAACUUCUUGUCAUUUCAGCAUUCAAAGCCAUUGGAAUAUUUUUGACAAUGCAAACAACCAAUAUUUGUGGUGGUUCUCCAGACUUAUUGAUCAGUUCAUGUCUUUCAUGGCCAUUUAGCUGGAAUUCGAAUGACUCUGACAGUGUAUGCUAAGUCAACCAACUAAUUGGUUAACCACUUUCAGUUAAUGCACCCGUGGCAUUAGCACGGGCACACUUUCUGAAGAUUUGUUGCAAUUUCAUGGUAGCAGGCCUAUCCAUGUUGCCUAAAUGUUCAUUAGUUUGUGAUCUGUAGGAACAUGUAAUUUGACCCUUUUGCUUUAUGGUCUUCCUCAUGCAUAUCGGUAUGAGCAACAAGCUGCCACCCAAGUCUGUCAAUGCUCGAGCUCGGCAGGGCAAUCUCAGUCACAUGCACCGAGCAACCUGUGGUGUACACUGUCUCCCUCCUGGAGGGCUCAUUCUGUGCUGUUCUUCAGGGGAAUGCUAAUGAUGAGCUGGAGAUCUGCUUGGAGAGUGGUGAUCCAGAUGUGGAAUCCUUUAAAGGCACCCAUCUUGUUUUCAUCGGUGCUGGAUGGGAUCCAUUUGAAGUUAUCACAAAUUCAAUGAAAGCUGUUGAGAGGCACUUGCAGACGUUUUGUCACAUGGAAAAGGAAAAGAUGCCAGACAUUCAAAACUGGUUUGGUUGGUGCACAUGGGAUGCAUUUUACACCAACGUACUGCUGAAGGAGUGAGAGGGAUUACAGAGCUUUCAAAAAGGUGGAGUUUCUCCUGAGUGUGUCAGAAUUGACGACGGCUGGCAAUCAGUCGGUAUGGAUCCUGUGGGAAUUGCAUGCUUAACUGAUAACUCAGCCAACUUUGCAAACAGGUUGACUCAUAUUAAGGAGAACCACAAGUUUCAGAAAAAUUGGAGGGAGGGUCACAGGGAAGACGAUCCAACAAAAGGCCUCGCACAUAUUGUCAAUGAAAUUAAUGGAAAACAUGAGCUGAACUAUGUGUACCUGUGGCACGCAAUAACUGGAUACUGGGAUGGAGUCAGGCCAUGUGUUGUUGGAAUGGAGCACUAUGAAUCAAAGAUGCAGCACCCUAUGUUAUCGCCUGGAGUUCAGAAAAACGAACCCUGUGCUUGGUGGUGGGUGCAAUCACCUGAUAUUGCAGUUUUUAACACACUUCUAUUCUUGCUGCAGUUCAAAAAGGAGCGCAGUUGUGAGAGCAUCAUAUAAUUUCUACCCGGCUUCCCAUACUAUACACAUUGCAUCUA